GUGGAAUUUGAAAAUCUUCUUGCUGCUGUGAUAUGACACUCGCUUUUGUCCCUAACCACCUCAACCCAUCCUCAGUAAAGUCUAUCACACUUAUGAAUGCUUUGUGUGAAAGUUUUGUUUUGUUUUUUAGGAAUUCAGGAAAGAACUUGAGUUCUACUUUUGCAGUGAAGAACAGAGAACACCUGCAGAAGCUGAGAAUGAAAUGAGCCCACCAGGACUUAGCAACCGUCUUGCUGAGGUUUGGAUUUUGACAGGGUGUGAAUGGUGGUUGGAGAUAAGCUUAUCUGGUUUUCCAGGGGCCAGGAGACCACAGCUAGGUUAGCAUCUGCAUUGCACAUGUUAUAGUAAGGAUGCCUGUUUGCUAUCAAAUUACUCUAACAGCAUUAUUUCCUUUGACUCUAUUUAACAGUCAUGUGAAGCAAACCCUUUCUGUAGAUUGUGCAAAUUUAACUCAAUCUGCAUUGGGCUGGACAUUGUGAUAAAUUACUAGGGAUCUACUUGAAUGACACUUUACAUGCAAACUUUAUUUUUACAUUUUAAUAUAUUCAAACUUAUAUGGUUAGGAGAGGAGUGUGACAGCUUCAAAAAUAGAAGAAAAAUCAUUAAAUGUUGACUGGUAGAGCUGGAAGAGAUCUCAGCAACUACUUUAUAGAUGAGGAAACUAAGACAUAGAGAAGUGGAUAACUUUCCAACAUCAUACAGCCUUUGAACAGUAGAUUCAUUGGAAUAAUUAAAACAGAAGGUCUUCUUUCCCUGCUAGGGGGAUUUCUGCCAUGAACCACUCCUCCUGUAGUACUCAAAGGUCUAACUUGGCUAUGGAAAAGCCUCUAUCUCAGGAAUGUUUAUGUCUUUGGAUCCUUUCCUCUCUUUUACAAAAGAACCCUGGAGAAAAUAAAAAAAAAAGGUCCACAUGGUUAUAAAACACUGAACUUCAGCUUUUUCUGAAGCCACCCUCUUGUCCAAAUUUUGGGGACUUUACGUGGAUGGGAGCAAGCAGUUUAUCUGGGCUUUUUCCUACUUCCUACCUCUCCCAGGACUGGGAGAGUCAACUGAAAACCAAUCAAUAUAUGUUUCAUUUUUGUUUUCUGUAUAAAUAGUUGUCUUAUCUGAAAUGACCUUUUUCCAAGAGCUAAUAGCCAUAAAUUUUUGCAGCUGGACAUGUUUAGAAAUGCCUCUUAGCUAUUUUUGUUGAUUUAUUUUCUUUGUCUGUAUUUGUGCAAUCCAGCUUUGGGCAUAGAAGCAAGCAGCUCUGGUUUCUGGUCCUCUACCUCUAAUGAUUUAAAUUCAGGGGACGUAGUUCUUUUUCUAUAGGAAUGGCCCCGUAUGGGAUUCCAUGGAGUCAUAGCUCAGCCCAGGAGUUAUUAUUCUAUCUUGGAGACUCAUGUUGAAUUCUUUUUGUGGCAACUAUUUCUGCAUUUUCUGCAUUUCUUUCUGAGUCUGCUUUGAAAUGUUUUUAUCUAUCUAUCUAUCUGCCUACCUACCUACUUCCAAUUUCGAUGUCCAAUAAUAUGGUGAUUAUAUAUUAUAGAGUAUUAACUCACUGGCAUAUUAAGUGACCACAAUAAAUGCAAAUGAAAAUAUCAUCUGCUGUGUAGCUCCAUGGAACAGCACAUCUGAAACAUAUUAAGUGACCAUUCCGUAUAUUUAAUUAUAGUCUGAAAAAUUUAUGUAACAUGUGGAUAAAGUUUAGACAUUUUCUCAAAAAGAAGUAAGUGAACUAGAAGUUCUUAAUGGCCUAAUAUGUGCUGGAUUUAUCUCAUUUAACCCUUAGAACAGUCCUGUAAAUUAAGCGUCAUUACCUCCAUCUGAAGAUGUAGAACCUGAGUCUCAAUGGAUCAAAUAACUUGUCUAAAGUCACACAGCUAAUAUUAAUAUAAAGGUACAGCCAGAGUUCUAGGUUGGUCCAAAAGCUGGAAUCUCUGCUCUUUUCAUUAUGCCGUGCUACGUUUAGAGAAAUCUAAGCAAUGAUAGACUUAUGUAAAGGGCUUAGAAUUGUAGCAUUUUGGGUUAAAAAUAAAAAUAAAAGUAAAUAUAAAAAUAUUUUUGUCCCCCUUCAUCUUCACUGUAUUAAUAAUUUCUGAGUUGGAGCAAAGGACACAUGACUGACACAAUAGAGAGAAAUCAUCAUUCCUCUCUGUCCUUUUGCUUCUAGAACAACGUUGUUACCUCUCUGUCUCUGGAUAUCCAUUUUCCAGGCCACAAUAUGUAUGUUCUGAGGUCUAAAGUCAAAAGGAUGCCAAGAAAAU
This 2246-nucleotide long non-coding RNA is filed under the name Homo sapiens (human). RNAcentral describes it as "HSALNT0134209". The record is from RNAcentral. Lineage: Eukaryota; Metazoa; Chordata; Mammalia; Primates; Hominidae.